This 523-nucleotide ribosomal RNA is filed under the name uncultured bacterium. RNAcentral's name for it is "partial 16S ribosomal RNA". It matches the Rfam family "Bacterial small subunit ribosomal RNA", at positions 356 to 870 of the family's 1533-position model. The record is from RNAcentral.
UGGGAAUCUUGGACAAUGGGGCAACCCUGAUCCAGCAAUGCCGCGUGUGGGAUGAAGGCCUUCGGGUUGUAAACCACUUUUGGCGGGGCGAAAUAUCGAGUGCUAAUACCAUUCGGUGAUGACGGUACCCGCAGAAUAAGCACCGGCUAACUACGUGCCAGCAGCCGCGGUAAUACGUAGGGUGCAAGCGUUAAUCGGAAUUACUGGGCGUAAAGCGUGCGCAGGCGGUUAGGUAAGACAGGUGUGAAAUUCCCGGGCUCAACCUGGGAACUGCAUUUGUGACUGCCUGACUAGAGUGCGGCAGAGGGGAGUGGAAUUCCGCGUGUAGCAGUGAAAUGCGUAGAUAUGCGGAGGAACACCGAUGGCGAAGGCAACUCCCUGGGCCUGCACUGACGCUCAUGCACGAAAAGCGUGGGGAGCAAAACAGGAUUAGAUACCCUGGUAGUCCAACGCCCUAAAACGAUGUCGACUAGUUGUUGGACGGGUUACUGUUCAGUAACGAAGCUAACGCGUGAAGUCGACC